AAUAGUUUUCCAGGAAGUGUUACUGUCUUGGGGUCUUCCAACUCAUUUCUAACAAAAAAAGGUCUUACUUUGGGACUGUCUAUUUACAUCACAGCAGGUGGAGUUUGCUCAGUUGUCUUCACCAAAGACUUAAAACAUGAAACAGCAAGGGGCCAGAGUUAUGGACCAGGAGCCAAUGGAUGGCAGGACAAAGACCGAGGGUGCCACCCACAUCUGAAACUCUGAAGAAGACCAUGAGAUGCCGCUGAAAUAGCAAAAGAAACUUGAGUCACAUCUCCGUCCUCCUCUAACCAUUUUAUCCAGAACGAGGAAUUGGAAGUGUGUGGAGGAGGAUUUCCAGAACAUCACAUCUUCCCUUGGUUGUGGAAUUAAAUGGUGAAUAAUGCAUGGCUGGAAGCAUCCCUCUCUCUGAGUUGCAUCUCUUCUGGACAGCAGGGGAUCUGAA
Perca flavescens (yellow perch) is the source of this 445-nucleotide long non-coding RNA. RefSeq lists it as uncharacterized. The transcript has 4 exons. NCBI's taxonomy places the organism in Eukaryota, Metazoa, Chordata, Actinopteri, Perciformes, Percidae. The record is from RefSeq and is a predicted model, not a curated record.